Molecule: ribosomal RNA, 253 nt
Filed under: uncultured prokaryote
Description: partial 16S ribosomal RNA
Rfam family: Bacterial small subunit ribosomal RNA
Source: RNAcentral
GACAGAGGGUGCAAACGUUGUUCGGAAUUACUGGGCGUAAAGCGCGCGUAGGCGGCUUUGCAAGUCGGUUGUGAAAUCCCCGGGCUUAACCUGGGAACUGCAUUCGAGACUGCAUUGCUAGAGUAUGGGAGAGGGAAGUGGAAUUUCAGGUGUAGCGGUGAAAUGCGUAGAUAUCUGAAGGAACAUCAGUGGCGAAAGCGACUUCCUGGACCAAUACUGACGCUCAUGUGCGAAAGCGUGGGGAGCAAACAGG